ACUUCAGUCGUGUUCAACUCUGUGCAACCCUAUGGACCGUAGUCUGCCGGGCUCCUCUGUCCAUGGAAUUCUUCAGGCAAGAAUACUAGAGUGGGAUGCUGUGACCUCCUCCGAGGGAUCUUCCCAACACAGGGAUGGAACGCAGGCAGGACGAGAAGGGGGCGGCAGAGGAUGAGAUGGCUGGAUGGUGUCACCGGCUCAAUGGACAUGAGCUUGAACAACCUUCAGGAGAUAGUGAAGGACAGGGAAUCCUGGCGUGCUGCAGCCCACGGGGUCACAGAGAGGUGGACACAACUUAGUGGCUGGACAAUAACAUGCUGAGGCCAACAGAUCGGGAGGGUCUUUUCCAGUGAGUCAGUUAUUCGCAUCAGGUGGCCAAAGGAUUGGAGUUUCAGCUUCAGCAUCAGUCCUUCCAAUGAACACCCAAGACUGAUCUCCUUUAGGAUGGACUGGUUGGAUUUCCUUGCAGUCCAAGGGACUCUCAAGAGUCUUCUCCAACACCACAGUUCAAAAGCAUCAAUUCUUAGGCACUCAGCUUUCUCCUGGAGUGAUUAGGGUAGGGGAAUAUUGGCCCUGGGGUGUAAGAGCCCUGUGAGAGCCUAGAAGGAGGUGGUUGGAGGAAGCCUUUGGGUUCAUUUGCAUACGAUAAGUGUGCUCCUGGGUGAGUCAUUUGCCAUUGCUAGGAACUAGCUAAACUUGGGAGCUCACAGUCAGCUCAGAAGGCCCAGAUGACAGAGGGUGGAAAAUAUAGAAAAUAAGAGGAUAUAGUUACUACAGGGAGUUGGAGCCAGAAGUGGGAGAG
Long non-coding RNA from Bos taurus (domestic cattle), 802 nucleotides. Lineage: Eukaryota; Metazoa; Chordata; Mammalia; Artiodactyla; Bovidae. The record is from Ensembl.